GGAAAAUUCUUUAUGUUGAAUCGACAUCUGUUUCUCUACAAUUUGCACUCAUUGGAGCCAUACAGAAUAAAACGUCUAAACAUCUAAUGCUGCUUCCACAAAUAUUUGAGCACUGCUAACACAUUUCCUUCUUCCACUCAUUCCACAAGGCUUCUUUUCUUCCAACUAAAUAUGCCCGGUUAUUUUAAACAGGGAGGCAGUGUGGGGUAGUGGAAAGAACGCCAGCUUUGGAGCCAGAACGCAU
Bos indicus x Bos taurus (hybrid cattle) is the source of this 244-nucleotide unclassified non-coding RNA. The record is from Ensembl. NCBI's taxonomy places the organism in Eukaryota, Metazoa, Chordata, Mammalia, Artiodactyla, Bovidae.